This 492-nucleotide ribosomal RNA is filed under the name uncultured bacterium. Its description in RNAcentral is "partial 16S ribosomal RNA". It matches the Rfam family "Bacterial small subunit ribosomal RNA", at positions 29 to 507 of the family's 1533-position model. The record is from RNAcentral.
AGUGAACGCUGGCGGUAGGCCUAACACAUGCAAGUCGAACGGCAGCACAGUAAGAGCUUGCUCUUACGGGUGGCGAGUGGCGGACGGGUGAGGAAUACAUCGGAAUCUACUUUUUCGUGGGGGAUAACGUAGGGAAACUUACGCUAAUACCGCAUACGACCUACGGGUGAAAGCAGGGGAUCUUCGGACCUUGCGCGAUUGAAUGAGCCGAGGUCGGAUUAGCUAGUUGGCGGGGUAAAGGCACACCAAGGCGACGAUCCGUAGCUGGUCUGAGAGGAUGAUCAGCCACACUGGAACUGAGACACGGUCCAGACUCCUACGGGAGGCAGCAGUGGGGAAUAUUGGACAAUGGGCGCAAGCUUGAUCCAGCCAUACCGCGUGGGUGAAGAAGGCCUUCGGGUUGUAAAGCCCUGUUGUUGGGAAAGAAAAGCAGCAGGUUAAUACCCCGCUGUUCUGACGGUACCCAAAGAAUAAGCACCGGCUAACUUCGUG